This 101-nucleotide ribosomal RNA is filed under the name Paenibacillus sp. F411. RNAcentral describes it as "partial 23S ribosomal RNA". It matches the Rfam family "Bacterial large subunit ribosomal RNA", at positions 2824 to 2925 of the family's 2925-position model. Lineage: Bacteria; Bacillati; Bacillota; Bacilli; Caryophanales; Paenibacillaceae. The record is from RNAcentral.
GUAUGUAAGACCCCUUGAAGACCACGAGGUAGAUAGGUUGGAGGUGGAAGUGCAGCAAUGCAUGGAGCUGACCAAUACUAAUCGGUCGAGGGCUUAUCCUA